GUGAAGAACGUAGCAAAAUGCGAUAAGUAAUGUGAAUUGCAGAAUUCAGUGAAUCAUCGAAUCUUUGAACGCACAUUGCGCCCCUUGGUAUUCCGAGGGGCAUGCCUGUUCGAGCGUCAUUAUAACCCCUCAAGCUCAGCUUGGUGUUGGGGCCUGCUGCACUGGCAGCCCUUAAAAUCAGUGGCGGCGCCAUCUGGCUCUAAGCGUAGUAAUUCUUCUCGCUAUGGAGUCCUGGUGGAUGCUUGCCAUCAACCCCCAAUUUUUCUAUGGUUGACCUCGGAUCAGGUAGGGAUACCCGCUGAACUUAAGCAUAUCAAUAAGCGGAGGA
RNAcentral lists this unclassified non-coding RNA (328 nucleotides) under soil metagenome. RNAcentral describes it as "partial contains 5.8S ribosomal RNA, internal transcribed spacer 2, and large subunit ribosomal RNA". The stretch from base 2 to 119 matches the Rfam family "5.8S ribosomal RNA", at positions 37 to 154 of the family's 154-position model. The record is from RNAcentral.